RNAcentral lists this unclassified non-coding RNA (376 nucleotides) under soil metagenome. Its description in RNAcentral is "partial contains 5.8S ribosomal RNA, internal transcribed spacer 2, and large subunit ribosomal RNA". The stretch from base 1 to 120 matches the Rfam family "5.8S ribosomal RNA", at positions 35 to 154 of the family's 154-position model. The record is from RNAcentral.
GAUGAAGAACGCAGCGAAAUGCGAUAAGUAAUGUGAAUUGCAGAAUUCAGUGAAUCAUCGAAUCUUUGAACGCAUCUUGCGCUCCUUGGUAUUCUGAGGAGCAUGCCUGUGUGAGUGUCAUUAAAUUCUCAACUACACUGACUUUGAAUUGGUGUGGCUUGGAUUUGGGGGGAAAAUUGUUGUGGGCUUUUUGUAUAGUCUGCUCCCCUGAAAUUGAUUAGCGGUACCUUUGUGGAACUGUCUACAGGUGUGAUAAUUAUCUACAUCUUAGACAUCUGCUGGAAUGCUGCUUUCUAAACCUUACUUGUAUUGACAAUCUUGACCUCAAAUCAGGUAGGACUACCCGCUGAACUUAAGCAUAUCAAUAAGCGGAGGA